GGUUUUCUCAGGGCAUGGAAAGGACAGGGCUCCCAGUGGAGAUAUCAUGUAGCUAGGGCCUAGAAGUAUUUUUUCAGUACAAGAAAUUUAGAAAGAAUUUGCAUAUUUGAUGCUGGGGAGGUAGGUUGUGGAGUGAAAUGGUCGGGGAAAGGAAACACUGAGUUCAAGUGCUUCUAAAGGACACUUAACUGAUCUAAAUAUUUGUCAAGCUGAAUCACUACAUCCACUCUCACCUGCCUGAAAUCAAUAUGCUCAAGUCAAACGCAUUUGCCUGCAUCUGAAUGUGGAGAAUGAACUUCUUAAAGCUGAAAUGGCAGCUGGAAGGGGAGAGAGAAGAGCUGGACAGGGAGCCAGGACACCGGAGUUCUUUUCCACUGUGGUGGGACCUGGAAGAAGCUGUUGAAUGUCUGUAGGGUUAGCUUUUAAAUGCUGUGAGUCUUUGGAAAGCUGUGCGAAUAACUGCUAAACACCCAGGACAGCUUAUGCAUUUUUUGAAAAAGGCUCCUGGUGCUGGUUCCAGCAGAAUAGACACAGAGAUGCAUGGCCUAACUCCCACCCCCUCUUCAGGACUGAGCCACGCAGCCCCCCAUCUGCCAGAAGUGUUAGCUGUUGACGGCUCACAGCUGAGUCGCUCCCCAGGCAUUGCUGAAAAAAGCCACCUUGCUCUAGGAUGUGCCCCCACCCUGGGGGCAGCACACAUUCCAAGUGAUUAGUCCAUAGUGUGGUACAAAGGUUGUACCCAUCUUGCCUGAAUUCAGGAUCUCUUGGAAAACCAUCCCAGCUCUGCAGCUCCUGGUGGG
This 800-nucleotide long non-coding RNA is filed under the name Pongo abelii (Sumatran orangutan). RNAcentral's name for it is "lincRNA". Lineage: Eukaryota; Metazoa; Chordata; Mammalia; Primates; Hominidae. The record is from RNAcentral.